UGGCGGCGUGCCUAAUACAUGCAAGUUCAGCGAACCAAUGGGAGCUUGCUCCCUGAGGUUAGCGGCGGACGGGUGAGUAACACGUGGGUAACCUGCCUGUAAGACUGGGAUAACUUCGGGAAACCGGAGCUAAUACCGGAUACUUUCUUUUCUCGCAUGAGAAGAGAUGGAAAGAUGGUUCUGCUAUCACUUACAGAUGGACCCGCGGCGCAUUAGCUAGUUGGUGAGGUAACGGCUCACCAAGGCGACGAUGCGUACCCGACCUGAGAGGGUGAUCGGCCACACCGGGACUGAGACCCGCCCAUACUCCUACGGGAGGCAUCACCACGGAAUCUUCCGCAAUGGACGAAAGACUGACGGACACACUCCACGUGAUCUAAAACUGCCUUUGUGUCAUAACCUCUCCCGUUGUUUCGCCAUCUUAAUACGAGCCUAAAGGCAGGCGCCUUUCCGGCGCUGGUGUCUCAUA
This 469-nucleotide ribosomal RNA is filed under the name uncultured Gram-positive bacterium. RNAcentral describes it as "bacterial SSU rRNA". The stretch from base 3 to 371 matches the Rfam family "Bacterial small subunit ribosomal RNA", at positions 39 to 400 of the family's 1533-position model. The record is from RNAcentral.